Molecule: ribosomal RNA, 235 nt
Filed under: uncultured bacterium
Lineage: Bacteria
Description: partial 16S ribosomal RNA
Rfam family: Bacterial small subunit ribosomal RNA
Source: RNAcentral
UAAUACGUAGGGGGCGAGCGUUGUCCGGAUUCAUUGGGCGUAAAGAGCUCGUAGGCGGCUUGGCAAGUCGGAUGUGAAAACUCCAGGCUCAACCUGGAGCCGCCAUUCGAUACUGCCAUGGCUAGAGUCCGGUAGGGGAGUGUGGAAUUCCCGGUGUAGCGGUGAAAUGCGCAGAUAUCGGGAGGAACACCGAUGGCGAAGGCAGCACUCUGGGCCGGUACUGACGCUGAGGAGC